Molecule: non-coding RNA, 52 nt
Filed under: Mucochytrium quahogii
Lineage: Eukaryota; Bigyra; Thraustochytrida; Thraustochytriidae
Source: RNAcentral
UGGUUGCUUGCGCGCGGAUUCUUUAAAACUUUUGUUAUCAUCUCCAGAGUUA